Marchantia polymorpha subsp. ruderalis is the source of this 203-nucleotide non-coding RNA. The record is from the annotation of a GenBank genome assembly. NCBI's taxonomy places the organism in Eukaryota, Viridiplantae, Streptophyta, Marchantiopsida, Marchantiales, Marchantiaceae.
GUGUCGGGACGAGCAGGAUGUUACUCCAUCUACGAUUUACAGGAUGUUGAUUGUGUUAGCCACGAAUCAUGGCGUCAUACGACUAUGGCUGCCGCAUCAGCCAAUCGUUGAGAUUCCAGAUCUCAUCAUUCCUCAGUUCGUGGCUGACAUAAUCAACAUCCCGUAAAUCGUAGAGUAUAAGUUAAAACUAGACUCCUCUGCAC